GGCCCGGUAGCUCAGCGGUAGAGCAGGCGACUCAUAAUCGUCCGUGCACAGGUUCGAAUCCUGUCCGGGCCA
Molecule: transfer RNA, 72 nt
Filed under: Phycisphaerales bacterium
Lineage: Bacteria; Pseudomonadati; Planctomycetota; Phycisphaerae; Phycisphaerales
Description: tRNA-Ile
Rfam family: tRNA
About the family: Transfer RNA (tRNA) molecules are approximately 80 nucleotides in length. Their secondary structure includes four short double-helical elements and three loops (D, anti-codon, and T loops). Further hydrogen bonds mediate the characteristic L-shaped molecular structure. tRNAs have two regions of fundamental functional importance: the anti-codon, which is responsible for specific mRNA codon recognition, and the 3' end, to which the tRNAs corresponding amino acid is attached (by aminoacyl-tRNA synthetases). tRNAs cope with the degeneracy of the genetic code in two manners: having more than one tRNA (with a specific anti-codon) for a particular amino acid; and 'wobble' base-pairing, i.e. permitting non-standard base-pairing at the 3rd anti-codon position.
Source: RNAcentral